This 254-nucleotide ribosomal RNA is filed under the name uncultured bacterium. Its description in RNAcentral is "partial 16S ribosomal RNA". It matches the Rfam family "Bacterial small subunit ribosomal RNA", at positions 524 to 776 of the family's 1533-position model. The record is from RNAcentral.
GACGAACCGUGCGAACGUUAUUCGGAAUCACUGGGCUUAAAGCGCGUGUAGGUGGGAGGGUACGUCUGUCGCUGAAAUCCCCCGGCUCGACCGGGGAACGGGCGCGGAUACGGCCUUCCUCGAGGAACGUAGGGGGAGCUGGAACUUCCGGUGGAGCGGUGAAAUGCGUUGAGAUCGGAAGGAACGCCCGUGGCGAAAGCGAGCUCCUGGACGUUUUCUGACACUGAGACGCGAAAGCCAGGGGAGCGAACGGG